This 402-nucleotide ribosomal RNA is filed under the name uncultured bacterium. Its description in RNAcentral is "bacterial SSU rRNA". It matches the Rfam family "Bacterial small subunit ribosomal RNA", at positions 355 to 774 of the family's 1533-position model. The record is from RNAcentral.
UGGGGAAUAUUGCACAAUGGGGGAAACCCUGAUGCAGCAACGCCGCGUGAGUGAAGAAGUAUUUCGGUAUGUAAAGCUCUAUCAGCAGGGAAGAUGAUGACGGUACCUGACUAAGAAGCUCCGGCUAAAUACGUGCCAGCAGCCGCGGUAAUACGUAUGGAGCAAGCGUUAUCCGGAUUUACUGGGUGUAAAGGGUGCGUAGGCGGCAGGGCAAGUCAGAUGUGAAAGACCGGGGCUUAACUCCGGGGCUGCAUUUGAAACUGCUUUGCUUGAGUCCGGGAGAGGCAGGCGGAAUUCCUAGUGUAGCGGUGAAAUGCGUAGAUAUUAGGAGGAACACCAGUGGCGAAGGCGGCCUGCUGGACCGGAACUGACGCUGAGGCACGAAAGCGUGGGGAGCAAACA